CGGUUCGGUCGCCGCUAAGGCGUCAAAAGGGAAUGCCGUGAAAGUCGGCAACAGUCCCGCUGCUGUAAGUCUUUUUCAGCGUGGUUCACCCCACCAUGCCACUGCGCUGCACCCAGCGUGGGAAGGCAAGAAUCUCGCAAGACAAGUCAGAAGACCUGCCCGACCACA
Molecule: non-coding RNA, 168 nt
Filed under: bovine gut metagenome
Source: RNAcentral